Molecule: long non-coding RNA, 508 nt
Organism: Lolium rigidum
Lineage: Eukaryota; Viridiplantae; Streptophyta; Magnoliopsida; Poales; Poaceae
Exons: 2
Source: RefSeq, a predicted model, not a curated record
AGAAGUAUCCUGCUUCCGGCGGCGCUGCCGACACCACCAGCCGCGGCGGCCACCACGGCCACCACCAUCACCACCACCACAACGGAGGAGGAGGCGGCGGCUUCUUGAGAGGAUGCUGCGCGGCGCUCUGCUGCUGCUGCAUCCUCGACGCCUGUUUCUGAUCACCGAGUCUGUGUGACGCCGACGCUGACGCUUGUCGUCGUAAUCAGUCCGUCAUAGGCUCAUAGCUGAUCUAUGGUCAGGUCGGGAGCAUUGACAUGUCGUCUUGCGUCUGAUCAGUUGUUGUUGAUCGUUCUUCUUUUUUGUGUGUGGCGAUGCCAUUGGCUAGUCGUUUGUUUCUUUGUUGAGUACAGUAUUAGUUGGUUUCGGUGUGUAUGUAUAUGUAGGAUGGUGAUGUACUGAUGUUAGUGAUGUUUCUCGAUCUCAUGUACUCCGUACAUUGUUAUGGUUUCUGUAUCAGUAGCUGAUCUCUUUUGAGCUUCUCUAUAUAUGAUAUAUGAUUAGAAGA